This is a long non-coding RNA of Conger conger (European conger), 1078 nucleotides long. RefSeq lists it as uncharacterized. The transcript has 2 exons. Lineage: Eukaryota; Metazoa; Chordata; Actinopteri; Anguilliformes; Congridae. The record is from RefSeq and is a predicted model, not a curated record.
CGACAGAGCUGCUACAGGAAGCACCUCGCGCUCUCGCGAGCUCUGUAUUGGUCCGCUGUACUGUAAGAUGGCGGAGGGGAAUUGGGGCGCAAAUGUAGGCUCGAAGACUGAGAAGAGUCAGCUGUGACAGAGGGAACUGGGCUCAGGAUGCCAUUGUGUAAAAUGUUUCUUGUGAAAUGCCUUUUUAUGGAAAACUAUCCAGUUUUAAUUUUGCAACAUUUGCAUUAGUCAAUGCUCAUUCUGGUGUCCAUAACUGUUAAUGGCCAGUGACUUUACUGCUGUAGGAUUUUGGGUUUGUGCUACCUGGGUAUUACCAUUGUCUUAGUACAGAGGCCUUCUGUUUUUAGUCUGUGUUCAUAUCAACUGUGCUAAGCUAAUAUAGAACAAGCGUCAGAGUAAAAUGGAAGUCACAUGCAUAAUGAUGCAGCAGGGAGUGAAAUGGCUGUAAAAGAACACUGCUCCGUAAAAGCAUAAUAAAGAAAAGUGUGCCAACGAAUCCAGAACGGAAAACAAGUGCAAAUUUCCGCAACACUUGCUCAAGUCUUUUCUGCAUGUCUUACAGCUGAACAGCCGUGUAGUUAAAUGUUAGUAUAGUACAUGAAACUGCCAUGAAUGUCGAUCGUCUGGUGAGUGACACAUCUUUCCCUGCUCACCUCUGUCUUGUCCGUGGAGGGAUUUAGAUUUUCGCAAUCUCAGGGGAAACCUCCUUAGCAUGCGCUCAGCGUCUGCGCAAGACAUGUCCGUUCACGUGGGAUUGGUGUUUCCAACCCGUGUCUGCUCAUCGAAUCACUGCUGAUUUCCUGCUCAUCGAAUCACUGCUGAUUUCCUGCUCAUCGAAUCACUGCUGAUUUCCUGUUGCAGCAGAUAUGACCUCAUGUCCUCUGGCGACAUUAUCUUUGCCUAAUAGCUCUCAGACCUAUGACCCAUUCCGUGCUUGUUUUCAUUCUGUCCAUAAACAUAGCGCCUGGUCUUCAUUCUGUCCAUGAACAGUGCCUAGUUUUCAUUCUGUCCAUAAAUGUAGAUUCUGGUUUUCAUUCUGUUCAUAAAAAUAGUGUCUGGUUUUCAUUCUGUCCAUAAA